AGAGACAGCAGUAGCCGCGGUAAUACAGAGGGUGCGAGCGUUAAUCGGAUUUACUGGGCGUAAAGCGUGCGUAGGCGGUGUUGUAAGACUGAUGUGAAAUCCCCGGGCUCAACCCGGGAACUGCAUUGGUGACUGCAACGCUGGAGUGCGGCAGAGGGGGAUGGAAUUCCGCGUGUAGCAGUGAAAUGCGUAGAUAUGCGGAGGAACACCGAUGGCGAAGUCAAUCCCCUGGGCCUGCACUGACGCUCAUGCACGAAAGCGUGGGGAGCAAACAGGAUUAGAGACCCGCGUAGUCCCUGUCUCUUAUAC
This 309-nucleotide ribosomal RNA is filed under the name uncultured bacterium. RNAcentral's name for it is "partial 16S ribosomal RNA". It matches the Rfam family "Bacterial small subunit ribosomal RNA", at positions 504 to 807 of the family's 1533-position model. The record is from RNAcentral.